CACGUAGGGGCGAGCGUUGUCCGGAAUUACUGGGCGUAAAGGGCGCGCAGGCUGUUAUGCGAGUCUGCUGUGAAAUGUACCGGCUCAACCGGUGCCUUGCGGCGGAUACUGCAUAGCUGGAGUACUGGAGAGGGAAGUGGAAUUCCCGGUGUAGCGGUGAAAUGCGUAGAUAUCGGUAGGAACACCGGUGGCGAAGGCGGCUUUCUGGCCAGUUACUGACGCUCAUGCGCGAAAGCUGGGGUAGCGAACCGGAUUAGAUACU
Molecule: ribosomal RNA, 262 nt
Filed under: uncultured prokaryote
Description: partial 16S ribosomal RNA
Rfam family: Bacterial small subunit ribosomal RNA
Source: RNAcentral